RNAcentral lists this ribosomal RNA (499 nucleotides) under uncultured bacterium. RNAcentral describes it as "bacterial SSU rRNA". It matches the Rfam family "Bacterial small subunit ribosomal RNA", at positions 29 to 507 of the family's 1533-position model. The record is from RNAcentral.
ACGAACGCUGGCGGCGUGCCUAAUACAUGCAAGUCGAGCGGAAUGAUGAAGAAGCUUGCUUCUUCUGAUUUUAGCGGCGGACGGGUGAGUAACACGUGGGCAACCUACCUUGUAGAUUGGGAUAACUCCGGGAAACCGGGGCUAAUACCGAAUAAUCCAUUUUGCUUCAUGGCGAGAUGUUGAAAGACGGUUUCGGCCGUCACUAUAAGAUGGGCCCGCGGCGCAUUAGCUAGUUGGUAGGGUAAUGGCCUACCAAGGCGACGAUGCGUAGCCGACCUGAGAGGGUGAUCGGCCACACUGAGACUGAGACACGGCCCAGACUCCUACGGGAGGCAGCAGUAGGGAAUCUUCCACAAUGGACGAAAGUCUGAUGGAGCAACGCCGCGUGAGUGAAGAAGGUUUUCGGAUCGUAAAACUCUGUUGUAAGGGAAGAACACGUACGAGAGUAACUGCUCGUACCUUGACGGUACCUUAUUAGAAAGCCACGGCUAACUACGUG